CAGCAGCCGCGGGAAAACGGAGGGUGCAAGCGUUAAUCGGAAUUACUGGGCGUAAAGCGCACGCAGGCGGUUUGUUAUGUCAGAUGUGAAAUCCCCGAGCUUAACUUGGGGACUGCAUUUGAAACUGGCAAGCUAGAGUCUUGUAGAGGGGGGUAGAAUUCCAGGUGUGGCGGUGAAAUGCGUAGAGAUCUGGAGGAAUACCGGUGGCGAAGGCGGCCCCCUGGACAAAGACUGACGCUCAGGUGCGAAAGCGUGGGGAGCAAACAGGAUUAGAUACCCGAGUAGUCCCUGUCUCUUAUAC
Molecule: ribosomal RNA, 301 nt
Filed under: uncultured bacterium
Lineage: Bacteria
Description: partial 16S ribosomal RNA
Rfam family: Bacterial small subunit ribosomal RNA
Source: RNAcentral